This 247-nucleotide unclassified non-coding RNA is filed under the name Basidiomycota sp. RNAcentral's name for it is "partial contains small subunit ribosomal RNA, internal transcribed spacer 1, and 5.8S ribosomal RNA". The stretch from base 1 to 47 matches the Rfam family "Eukaryotic small subunit ribosomal RNA", at positions 1785 to 1831 of the family's 1831-position model. The record is from RNAcentral. Lineage: Eukaryota; Fungi; Basidiomycota.
AAAGUCGUAACAAGGUUUCCGUAGGUGAACCUGCGGAAGGAUCAUUAACAAAUCAUCUCUUCUACAAUACCUGUGUGAACGUUUGCUUGUUUGCGCUGCUUGUCGUACCUGCUUUACUGCUUGUCGACGACGGCGCAACAACACCUCUACACGAUUGAUUGUCAGAUAUGAUGUCUCUGUGUACUUGUAUGCACGAGACAAUAAUCUUAACAGAUAACAACUUUUAACAAUGGAUCUCUUGGCUCUU